Molecule: ribosomal RNA, 327 nt
Filed under: uncultured bacterium
Lineage: Bacteria
Description: bacterial SSU rRNA
Rfam family: Bacterial small subunit ribosomal RNA
Source: RNAcentral
GACGUUAGCUGCAGAAGAAGCACCGGCUAACUCCGUGCCAGCAGCCGCGGUAAUACGGGAGGGUGCGAGCGUUAAUCGGAAUUACUGGGCGUAAAAGCGCAUGCAGGUGGUUGUUAAGUCAGAUGUGAAAGACCCGGGGCGUCAACCUCGGAAUUGCAUUUGAAACUGGCAGACUAGAGUACUGUAGAGGGGGUAGAAUUUCAGGUGUAGCGGUGAAAUGCGUAGAGAUCUGAAGGAAUACCGGUGGCGAAGGCGGCCCCCUCGGACAGAAUACUGACACUCAGAUGCGAAAGCGUGGGGAGCAAACAGGAUUAGAUACCCUGGUAG